CCCAGACUCCUACGGGAGGCAGCAGUGGGGGAUAUUGCACAAUGGGGGGAACCCUGAUGCAGCGACGCCGCGUGGGUGAAGGAGUGCUUCGGCAUGUAAAGCCCUAUCGGCAGGGAAGAAAAUGACGGUACCUGAAGAAGAAGCCCCGGCUAACUACGUGCCAGCAGCCGCGGUAAUACGUAGGGGGCAAGCGUUAUCCGGAUUUACUGGGUGUAAAGGGGGCGCAGACGGCGAUGCAAGCCAGGAGUGAAAGCCCGGGGCCCAACCCCGGGACUGCUCUUGGAACUGCGUGGCUGGAGUGCAGGAGGGGCAGGCGGAAUUCCUGGUGUAGCGGUGAAAUGCGUAGACAUCAGGAGGAACACCGGUGGCGAAGGCGGCCUGCUGGACUGCAACUGACGUUGAGGCCCGAAAGCGUGGGGAGCAAACAGGAUUAGAUACCCCAGUAC
Molecule: ribosomal RNA, 446 nt
Filed under: uncultured bacterium
Lineage: Bacteria
Description: bacterial SSU rRNA
Rfam family: Bacterial small subunit ribosomal RNA
Source: RNAcentral